This 222-nucleotide long non-coding RNA is filed under the name Olea europaea (common olive). RNAcentral describes it as "long non-coding RNA (OEUR_LNC009640)". Lineage: Eukaryota; Viridiplantae; Streptophyta; Magnoliopsida; Lamiales; Oleaceae. The record is from RNAcentral.
AAGAUUUGAGAUUUUCUAAUCGCGUAUAUGUCCAUCCAGUUUUGUGUUGUUCCAUUGGUUGAUCAUCUUCCUCCAUCGCUCGAACCAUUUUCUGAUUCAAGCGUAAUGAAUGAAUAUAGAAUUAAAUGAAGGAAAAAUUCAUAAAAUUGGAGGAAAAAUGUUGAAUGAGAAGGGGAAACAAGAGAUUCAAUGACUUAUCCAUAAUUCCAAAGAGACUGCUAU